RNAcentral lists this small RNA (77 nucleotides) under Sphingobium sp. C100. Its description in RNAcentral is "Makes More Granules Regulator RNA (mmgR)". It matches the Rfam family "Makes More Granules Regulator RNA (mmgR)". Rfam says of the family: SuhB later renamed mmgR (makes more granules regulator) was a putative non-coding RNA found multiple times in the Agrobacterium tumefaciens genome and related alpha-proteobacteria. Other non-coding RNAs uncovered in the same analysis include: speF, ybhL, metA, and serC. Several studies inSinorhizobium meliloti showed that suhB element is indeed a non-coding RNA:firstly it was detected on Northern blot and called Sm8RNA, secondly in an RNAseq study referred to as SmelC689. The record is from Rfam by way of RNAcentral. Lineage: Bacteria; Pseudomonadati; Pseudomonadota; Alphaproteobacteria; Sphingomonadales; Sphingobiaceae.
CGAACGGGCCUUUCAGGCAUCCUCUCCUAAAAACUUUCCGGGCCGGUCUUCGUGAUCGGCCCUUUUUUUGUGCCGUC